AUUAGCAUGGAAUAAUAGAAUAGGACGUUGCGGUCCUAUUUUGUUGGUUUCUAGGACCGCCGUAAUGAUUAAUAGGGAUAGUCGGGGGUAUCAGUAUUCAAUUGUCAGAGGUGAAAUUCUUGGAUUUAUUGAAGACUAACUACUGCGAAAGCAUUUACCAAGGAUGUUUUCAUUAAUCAGUGAACGAAAGUUAGGGGAUCGAAGACGAUCAGAUACCGUCGUAGUCUUAACCGUAAACGAUGCCGACUAGGGAUCGGGCGAUGUUAUCAUUUUGACUCGCUCGGCACCUUACGAGAAAUCAAAGUUUUUGGGUUCUGGGGGGAGUAUGGUCGCAAGGCUGAAACUUAAAGAAAUUGACGGAAGGGCACCACCAGGCGUAAACCGCAGCGUCUCUGCGCCGAAAAGCAGCCCGCGAGGGUGAGGUGGUGCCUAAACUCGCUAAGAGUUUGAAUCAAAAAUGCUAGUCUGCCGGUUAGGUAGGCAACACGCUUCAAAUUGCGGGAACCCCCUUAAGCUCACAGACACCAAACCGGCGCCGAAAGGCAGCUGGUGGCUAGGUUAACCGCCUGGGUAUGGUAAAAGUUCUGAGAGAUUGGGAAAUCCGCAGCCAACCCCUAAAGUACCGCCUGGUAAAAUGGGAGAGGUUCAGAGACUAAAUGGGCGUGGGUCCAAGGAAACUUGGGCUUAAGAGAUAGUCCGGCCGCCGUUGAAAGACGGUGGGCCAGGUAAACCCUUCAAAAAACGGGAGCCUGCGGCUUAAUUUGACUCAACACGGGGAAACUCACCAGGUCCAGACACAGUGAGGAUUGACAGAUUGAGAGCUCUUUCUUGAUUUUGUGGGUGGUGGUGCAUGGCCGUUCUUAGUUGGUGGAGUGAUUUGUCUGCUUAAUU
This 891-nucleotide ribosomal RNA is filed under the name Neoacanthostigma fusiforme. RNAcentral describes it as "partial 18S small subunit ribosomal RNA". It matches the Rfam family "Eukaryotic small subunit ribosomal RNA", at positions 803 to 1324 of the family's 1831-position model. The record is from RNAcentral. Lineage: Eukaryota; Fungi; Ascomycota; Dothideomycetes; Tubeufiales; Tubeufiaceae.